AAAACAUGCUGGAUUCUUUUGUUUCCUCGUACAUAAGAAAAAUUAAAUUUAAUGGAAAUAUUUCCCUGAAAUUUACCGAUCCUGAUCUCCAGAGGAUGAACCGACUCCAUGAUCUUUCCUGUAGCGCCACCUUCACUACUGGGAGCCACUGGAGAGGAGCUAAAGAGCUGCGGGUUGCUGACCCCUGGUCUAGUGGACUCUAGUGGACUCCAGUGGACGUAGUAGUUCCUCAGUGUGACCAGCAGGUGGAGCCAUUAGAUCACAGAAACACAGAUAAACCUCUGUUUCCUCU
This is a long non-coding RNA of Sebastes umbrosus (honeycomb rockfish), 292 nucleotides long. RefSeq lists it as uncharacterized. The transcript is spliced from 2 exons. The record is from RefSeq and is a predicted model, not a curated record. NCBI's taxonomy places the organism in Eukaryota, Metazoa, Chordata, Actinopteri, Perciformes, Sebastidae.